This 519-nucleotide ribosomal RNA is filed under the name Bacillus subtilis. Its description in RNAcentral is "bacterial SSU rRNA". It matches the Rfam family "Bacterial small subunit ribosomal RNA", at positions 37 to 525 of the family's 1533-position model. Lineage: Bacteria; Bacillati; Bacillota; Bacilli; Caryophanales; Bacillaceae. The record is from RNAcentral.
GGUCUGCAGACGCGUUUCGGAGUGCCUAAACAUGCAGGGCGAGCGGACAGAUGGGAGCUUGCUCCCUGAUGUUAGCGGCGGACGGGUGAGUAACACGUGGGUAACCUGCCUGUAAGACUGGGAUAACUCCGGGAAACCGGGGCUAAUACCGGAUGGUUGUUUGAACCGCAUGGUUCAAACAUAAAAGGUGGCUUCGGCUACCACUUACAGAUGGACCCGCGGCGCAUUAGCUAGUUGGUGAGGUAACGGCUCACCAAGGCAACGAUGCGUAGCCGACCUGAGAGGGUGAUCGGCCACACUGGGACUGAGACACGGCCCAGACUCCUACGGGAGGCAGCAGUAGGGAAUCUUCCGCAAUGGACGAAAGUCUGACGGAGCAACGCCGCGUGAGUGAUGAAGGUUUUCGGAUCGUAAAGCUCUGUUGUUAGGGAAGAACAAGUACCGUUCGAAUAGGGCGGUACCUUGACGGUACCUAACCAGAAAGCCACGGCUAACUACGUGCCAGCAGCCGGGAAAUUA